This 440-nucleotide ribosomal RNA is filed under the name uncultured bacterium. Its description in RNAcentral is "partial 16S ribosomal RNA". It matches the Rfam family "Bacterial small subunit ribosomal RNA", at positions 338 to 795 of the family's 1533-position model. The record is from RNAcentral.
CCUACGGGAGGCAGCAGUGGGGAAUAUUGGACAAUGGGGGAAACCCUGACGCAGCGACGCCGCGUGAGUGAAGAAGGCUUUCGGUAUGUAAAGCUCUUUUAGUAGGGAAGAAAAUCACGGUAUCUGACUACUAUGCCCCGGCUCACUCCGUGCCAGCAGCCGCGGUAAUACGCGGGGGGCAAGCGUUAUCCGGAGUUACUGGGUGUAAAGGGGGCGUAGAGGGGAGAACAAGUCAGAUGUGAAAUCCCGGGGCUUAACCCCGGAACUGCAUUGGAAACUGUGGUGCUAGAGUGCAGGAGAGGUAAGUGGAAUUCCUUGUGUAGCGGUGAAAUGCGUAGAUAUUAGGAAGAACACCAGUGGCGAAGGCGGCUUACUGGACGGUAACUGACGGUGAGGCGCGAAAGCGUGGGGAGCAAACAGGAUUAGAUACCCGGGUAGUC